GGCUCAGGACGAACGCUGGCGGCGUGCUUAACACAUGCAAGUCGAGCGGAAAGGCCCUUCGGGGUACUCGAGCGGCGAACGGGUGAGUAACACGUGAGCAACCUGCCCUAGGCUUUGGGAUAACCCCGGGAAACCGGGGCUAAUACCGAAUAGGACCUGGCCUCGCAUGAGGCUGGGUGGAAAGUUUUUCGGCCUGGGAUGGGCUCGCGGCCUAUCAGCUUGUUGGUGGGGUGAUGGCCUACCAAGGCGACGACGGGUAGCCGGCCUGAGAGGGCGACCGGCCACACUGGGACUGAGACACGGCCCAGACUCCUACGGGAGGCAGCAGUGGGGAAUAUUGCACAAUGGGCGGAAGCCUGAUGCAGCGACGCCGCGUGAGGGAUGACGGCCUUCGGGUUGUAAACCUCUUUCAGCAGGGACGAAGCGUAAGUGACGGUACCUGCAGAAGAAGCGCCGGCCAACUACGUGCCAGCAGCCGCGGUAAGACGUAGGGCGCGAGCGUUGUCCGGAUUUAUUGGGCGUAAAGAGCUCGUAGGCGGCUUGUCGCGUCGACUGUGAAAACCCGCAGCUCAACUGCGGGCCUGCAGUCGAUACGGGCAGGCUAGAGUUCGGUAGGGGAGACUGGAAUUCCUGGUGUAGCGGUGAAAUGCGCAGAUAUCAGGAGGAACACCGGUGGCGAAGGCGGGUCUCUGGGCCGAUACUGACGCUGAGGAGCGAAA
RNAcentral lists this ribosomal RNA (719 nucleotides) under Micromonospora chersina. RNAcentral's name for it is "bacterial SSU rRNA". It matches the Rfam family "Bacterial small subunit ribosomal RNA", at positions 21 to 758 of the family's 1533-position model. The record is from RNAcentral. Lineage: Bacteria; Bacillati; Actinomycetota; Actinomycetes; Micromonosporales; Micromonosporaceae.